This 253-nucleotide ribosomal RNA is filed under the name uncultured bacterium. RNAcentral's name for it is "partial 16S ribosomal RNA". It matches the Rfam family "Bacterial small subunit ribosomal RNA", at positions 524 to 776 of the family's 1533-position model. The record is from RNAcentral.
UACGGAGGGGGCUAGCGUUGUUCGGAAUUACUGGGCGUAAAGCGCGCGUAGGCGGCUUUGCAAGUUAGAGGUGAAAGCCCGGAGCUUAACUCCGGAACUGCCUUUAAAACUGCAUCGCUAGAAUCGUGGAGAGGUGAGUGGAAUUCCGAGUGUAGAGGUGAAAUUCGUAGAUAUUCGCAAGAACACCAGUGGCGAAGGCGGCUCACUGGCCCGAUACUGACGCUGAGGUGCGAAAGCGUGGGGAGCAAACAGG